RNAcentral lists this ribosomal RNA (1241 nucleotides) under metagenome. RNAcentral's name for it is "bacterial LSU rRNA". It matches the Rfam family "Bacterial large subunit ribosomal RNA", at positions 1564 to 2815 of the family's 2925-position model. The record is from RNAcentral.
UGAAUACGAGACGCUACGGCGUCGAAGCAGUCGAUGUCAUACUUCCAAGAAAAGCUUGCACUGUCAUAAACAAAGAAUGCCUGUACCAUAACCGACACAGGUGGGUAGGUAGAGUAUACUAAGGGGCGCGAGAUAACUCUCUCUAAGGAACUCGGCAAAAUGACUCCGUAACUUCGGGAGAAGGAGUGCCUUAUUUAUAAGGUUGCAAUAACAAGAUCCAAGCAACUGUUUACCAAAAACACAGGUCUCCGCUAAGUCGUAAGACGAUGUAUGGGGGCUGACGCCUGCCCAGUGCCAGAAGGUUAAAGAAGUUGGUUAGCAUUUGCGAAGCUGAUAACUGAAGCCCUGGUGAACGGCGGCCGUAACAAUAACGGUCCUAAGGUAGCGAAAUUCCUUGUCGGGUAAGUUCCGACCCGCACGAAAGGCGUAAUGAUUUGGAUACUGUCUCAGAGAGGGGCUCGGUGAAAUAGACUUGUCUGUGAAGAUGCGGACUACCUGCACCAGGACAGAAAGACCCUAUGAAGCUUUACUGUAACCUGAAAUUGAAAUUGGACUUUAUUUGCGCAGUAUAGGUGGGAGGCGUUGAGAAUUUUCUUGCGGGAAGAUUGGAGCCAUCAGUGAGAUACCACUCUUGUAAUGUUAGAUUUCUAACUUUGAAUCAUGAUCUGGUCAAAGAACAGUUUCAGGCGGGCAGUUUGACUGGGGCGGUCGCCUCCCAAAUGGUAACGGAGGCGCACAAAGGUUUCCUCUGAACGGGUAGAAAUCGUAUCUAGAGUGUAAAGGCAUAAGGAAGCUUGACUGUGAGACCUACAAGUCGAGCAGGGACGAAAGUCGGUCUUAGUGAUCUGACGGUGCUGAGUGGAAAGGCCGUCACUCAACGGAUAAAAGUUACUCUAGGAUAACAGGCUGAUCUCCCCCAAGAGUUCACAUCGACGGGGAGGUUUGGCACCUCGAUGUCGGCUCAUCGCAUCCUGGGGCGGUAGUACGUCCCAAGGGUUGGGCUGUUCGCCCAUGAAAGCGGUACGCGAGCUGGGUUCAGAACGUCGUGAGACAGUUCGGUCCAUAUCCGGUGUAGGCGUUAGAAUAUUGAGAGGAGCCUUCUUUAGUACGAGAGGACCGAGAAGGACAUACCUCUGGUGUACCAGUUAUCGUACCAACGGUAAACGCUGGGUAGCUAUGUAUGGAGAGGAUAACCGCUGAAAGCAUCUAAGUGGGAAGCCCACCUCAAGAUAAGUAUUCUU